GAUGAAGAACGCAGCGAAAUGCGAUAAGUAAUGUGAAUUGCAGAAUUCAGUGAAUCAUCGAAUCUUUGAACGCACAUUGCGCCCCCCGGUAUUCCGAGGGGCAUGCCUGUUCGAGCGUCAUUUCAACCAUCAAGCCCCAGCGCUUGUGUUGGGGGCCUGCGGCUGCCGCAGCCCCCUAAAAGCAGUGGCGGGCUCGCUAUCACACCGAGUGCAGUAGUUCAUCUUCUCUCCGGUCUUGUGAGGCGGGUUCCGGCCGUGAAACACCCCACUACAUUCAAGGUUGACCUCGGAUCAGGUAGGAAUACCCGCUGAACUUAAGCAUAUCAAUAAGCGGAGGA
This 338-nucleotide unclassified non-coding RNA is filed under the name soil metagenome. RNAcentral describes it as "partial contains 5.8S ribosomal RNA, internal transcribed spacer 2, and large subunit ribosomal RNA". The stretch from base 1 to 120 matches the Rfam family "5.8S ribosomal RNA", at positions 35 to 154 of the family's 154-position model. The record is from RNAcentral.